RNAcentral lists this non-coding RNA (579 nucleotides) under Leptactina delagoensis. RNAcentral describes it as "transfer RNA-Leu". The stretch from base 26 to 503 matches the Rfam family "Group I catalytic intron". Rfam says of the family: Group I catalytic introns are large self-splicing ribozymes. They catalyse their own excision from mRNA, tRNA and rRNA precursors in a wide range of organisms. Lineage: Eukaryota; Viridiplantae; Streptophyta; Magnoliopsida; Gentianales; Rubiaceae. The record is from RNAcentral.
GGGGAUAUGGCGAAAUCGGUAGACGCUACGGACUUAAUUGAAUUGAGCCUUGGUAUGGAAACCCACUAAGUGAUAACUUUCAAAUUCAGAGAAACCCUGGAAUUAAUAAAAAGGGGCAAUCCUGAGCCAAAUCCCGUUUUCCGAAAACAAAGGUUCAGAAAGUGAAAAGGGGAUAGGUGCAGAGACUCAACGGAAGUUGUUCUAACAAAUGGAGUUGGCUGCAUUAGUAGAGAAAUCUUUCCAUCUAAAAUUCCGAAAGGGUAAAGUGAAGGAUAAACGUAUAUAUACGUAUUGAAUACUAUAUCAAAUGAUUAAUGACGACUCGACUAAAUCUGUAUUUUUUAUAUGAAAACGGAAGAAUUGGUGUGAAUAGAUUCCACAUUGAAGAAAGAAUCGAAUAGUCAUUGAUCAAAUGAUUCACUCCAUAGUCUGAUAGAUCUUUUCAAGAAUUGAUUAAUCGGACGAGAAUAAAGAUAGAGUCCUGUUCUACAUGUCAAUGUCGGCAACAAUGAAAUUUAUAGUAAGAGGAAAAUCCGUCGACUUUAAAAAUCGUGAGGGUUCAAGUCCCUCUAUCCCCAA